UAGGUGUGGGGGACAUUCCACGUUUUCCGCGCCGUAGCUAACGCAUUAAGUGCCCCGCCUGGGGAGUACGGCCGCAAGGCUAAAACUCAAAGGAAUUGACGGGGGCCCGCACAAGCGGCGGAGCAUGCGGAUUAAUUCGAUGCAACGCGAAGAACCUUACCAAGGCUUGACAUGGACCGGAUCGCCCUAGAGAUAGGGUUUCCCUUCGGGGCUGGUUCACAGGUGGUGCAUGGUUGUCGUCAGCUCGUGUCGUGAGAUGUUGGGUUAAGUCCCGCAACGAGCGCAACCCUUGUCCUAUGUUGCCAGCACGUAAUGGUGGGGACUCAUGGGAGACUGCCGGGGUCAACUCGGAGGAAGGUGGGGAUGACGUCAAAUCAUCAUGCCCCUUAUGUCUUGGGCUUCACGCAUGCUACAAUGGCCGGUACAGUGGGUUGCGAUACUGUGAGGUGGAGCUAAUCCCUAAAAGCCGGUCUCAGUUCGGAUCGAAGUCUGCAACUCGACUUCGUGAAGUUGGAGUCGCUAGUAAUCGCAGAUCAGCAACGCUGCGGUGAAUACGUUCCCGGGCCUUGUACACACCGCCCGUCAAGUCACGAAAGUUGGUAACACCCGAAGCCCACGGCCCAACCGGUUUUCCGGGGGGAGUGGUCGAAGGUGGGGCUG
RNAcentral lists this ribosomal RNA (660 nucleotides) under uncultured bacterium. RNAcentral's name for it is "bacterial SSU rRNA". It matches the Rfam family "Bacterial small subunit ribosomal RNA", at positions 817 to 1470 of the family's 1533-position model. The record is from RNAcentral.